Molecule: long non-coding RNA, 272 nt
Organism: Lotus japonicus
Lineage: Eukaryota; Viridiplantae; Streptophyta; Magnoliopsida; Fabales; Fabaceae
Exons: 2
Source: RefSeq, a predicted model, not a curated record
AGGUGCAUGCAGCCUAUAAGCGGGCCUUGUUACCGUGCAUCAAAAACGGACAUUCGUGAGCAGGUUAAGGCUGAGGAGAAAUUCAAGCUCGUCUCUCGGUGUAAUGGAAUAGGCUAUGGACCAGCGAGGGCCUUAGCUUUCUGGUUUGCUGCUAUUUGAGUCUUGCAGUCACGUUCCUCUGGUGGGUAUUCUGUGAUUAACACUUUUAGUUUGCUUUUGUUUAUACACAAUUAACAACAGGUUUUGUUUCAUGGUGGCUGAUAGAUUUGAUA